This 1304-nucleotide ribosomal RNA is filed under the name Salmonella enterica. Its description in RNAcentral is "partial 23S ribosomal RNA". It matches the Rfam family "Bacterial large subunit ribosomal RNA", at positions 155 to 1503 of the family's 2925-position model. Lineage: Bacteria; Pseudomonadati; Pseudomonadota; Gammaproteobacteria; Enterobacterales; Enterobacteriaceae. The record is from RNAcentral.
UAACUGAAUCCAUAGGUUAAUGAGGCGAACCGGGGGAACUGAAACAUCUAAGUACCCCGAGGAAAAGAAAUCAACCGAGAUUCCCCCAGUAGCGGCGAGCGAACGGGGAGGAGCCCAGAGCCUGAAUCAGCAUGUGUGUUAGUGGAAGCGUCUGGAAAGGCGCGCGAUACAGGGUGACAGCCCCGUACACAAAAGCGCAUGUGCUGUGAGCUCGAUGAGUAGGGCGGGACACGUGGUAUCCUGUCUGAAUAUGGGGGGACCAUCCUCCAAGGCUAAAUACUCCUGACUGACCGAUAGUGAACCAGUACCGUGAGGGAAAGGCGAAAAGAACCCCGGCGAGGGGAGUGAAAAAGAACCUGAAACCGUGUACGUACAAGCAGUGGGAGCACCCUUUGGGGUGUGACUGCGUACCUUUUGUAUAAUGGGUCAGCGACUUAUAUUCUGUAGCAAGGUUAACCGAAUAGGGGAGCCGGAGGGAAACCGAGUCUUAAUUGGGCGUUAAGUUGCAGGGUAUAGACCCGAAACCCGGUGAUCUAGCCAUGGGCAGGUUGAAGGUUGGGUAACACUAACUGGAGGACCGAACCGACUAAUGUUGAAAAAUUAGCGGAUGACCUGUGGCUGGGGGUGAAAGGCCAAUCAAACCGGGAGAUAGCUGGUUCUCCCCGAAAGCUAUUUAGGUAGCGCCUCGUGAAUUCAUCUCCGGGGGUAGAGCACUGUUUCGGCUAGGGGGCCAUCCCGGCUUACCAACCCGAUGCAAACUGCGAAUACCGGAGAAUGUUAUCACGGGAGACACACGGCGGGUGCUAACGUCCGUCGUGAAGAGGGAAACAACCCAGACCGCCAGCUAAGGUCCCAAAGUCAUGGUUAAGUGGGAAACGAUGUGGGAAGGCCCAGACAGCCAGGAUGUUGGCUUAGAAGCAGCCAUCAUUUAAAGAAAGCGUAAUAGCUCACUGGUCGAGUCGGCCUGCGCGGAAGAUGUAACGGGGCUAAACCAUGCACCGAAGCUGCGGCAGCGACACUGUGUGUUGUUGGGUAGGGGAGCGUUCUGUAAGCCUGCGAAGGUGGCCUGUGAGGGUUGCUGGAGGUAUCAGAAGUGCGAAUGCUGACAUAAGUAACGAUAAAGCGGGUGAAAAGCCCGCUCGCCGGAAGACCAAGGGUUCCUGUCCAACGUUAAUCGGGGCAGGGUGAGUCGACCCCUAAGGCGAGGCCGAAAGGCGUAGUCGAUGGGAAACGGGUUAAUAUUCCCGUACUUGGUGUUACUGCGAAGGGGGGACGGAGAAGGCUAUGUUGGCCGGGCGACGGUU